This 497-nucleotide ribosomal RNA is filed under the name uncultured bacterium. Its description in RNAcentral is "partial 16S ribosomal RNA". It matches the Rfam family "Bacterial small subunit ribosomal RNA", at positions 36 to 507 of the family's 1533-position model. The record is from RNAcentral.
UCCUCCCUCUGUCGGCGUGCCUAAUACAUGCAAGUUGAGCGAUGAAGAUUGGUGCUUGCACCAAUUUGAAGAGCAGCGAACGGGUGAGUAACGCGUGGGGAAUCUGCCUUUGAGCGGGGGACAACAUUUGGAAACGAAUGCUAAUACCGCAUAACAACUUUAAACAUAAGUUUUAAGUUUGAAAGAUGCAAUUGCAUCACUCAAAGAUGAUCCCGCGUUGUAUUAGCUAGUUGGUGAGGUAAAGGCUCACCAAGGCGAUGAUACAUAGCCGACCUGAGAGGGUGAUCGGCCACAUUGGGACUGAGACACGGCCCAAACUCCUACGGGAGGCAGCAGUAGGGAAUCUUCGGCAAUGGACGAAAGUCUGACCGAGCAACGCCGCGUGAGUGAAGAAGGUUUUCGGAUCGUAAAGCUCUGUUGGUAGAGAAGAACGUUGGUGAGAGUGGAAAGCUCAUCAAGUGACGGUAACUACCCAGAAAGGGACGGCUAACUACGUG